Molecule: non-coding RNA, 253 nt
Organism: Notechis scutatus (mainland tiger snake)
Lineage: Eukaryota; Metazoa; Chordata; Lepidosauria; Squamata; Elapidae
Source: RefSeq, a predicted model, not a curated record
GGGAGCCCGAGAUACCUUUGAGAGCUACUACCGGAAGCAGAGAAGAAAGCAGGCCCGGCUGGUUCUGCAGCCCCCCUCUAACAUGCAUGAAACCCUCUCCGGCUACCGGAAGUAUUUUAAUCAGAUUGUAGGGUUUUUCGUCAUCGAGGAUCACAUCCUGCACACAAGCCAGGGUUUGGUGGACAGAGCCUACAUCGAUGAGCUCUGGGAUAUGGCCCUGUCCAAGACCAUCGCGGCCCUCCGGACACAUUCG